This 894-nucleotide ribosomal RNA is filed under the name Triticum aestivum (bread wheat). RNAcentral's name for it is "partial small subunit ribosomal RNA". The record is from RNAcentral. Lineage: Eukaryota; Viridiplantae; Streptophyta; Magnoliopsida; Poales; Poaceae.
AUGUACUCCAAGUGCGGUUCAUUGGCCCAGGCGCUGGAAGUGUUCCACUCCAUCAAACGAGAAGACCGGAAACUUGUGUCAUACAAUACUGCGAUACAAGCAAUUUCCAUGCAUGGGCAUGGGGGCGAUGCACUGAAGUUGUUUGAUGAAAUGCCGACAUGUAUUGAGCCGGACGAAGUGACUUACAUUGCUGUUUUGUGCGGAUGCAACCAUGCUGGGCUUGUGGACGACGGCCUUAGGGUUUUUCACGGCAUGAGGGUUCCUCCUAAUGUAAAGCACUAUGGCACUGUUGUGGACCUUCUUGGCCGUGCAGGCCGCCUUGCUGAGGCAUAUGGUACCAUUAAGUCUAUGCCGUUUCCGGUAGAUAUUGUCCUCUGGCAGACAUUGCUUGGUGCGUCCAAGACGCAUGGUGAUCUUGAGCUCGCGGAGCUAGCUGCUACAAAGCUUGCUGAGCUUGGUUCAAAUGUUGAUGGUGACUAUGUGCUCCUCUCCAAUGUAUAUGUGUCCAAGGCAUGGUGGGCAGAUGUUGGUCGAGUCCGUGAUACCAUGCGAAGCAAUGAUGUGCGGAAAGUACCUGGUUUCAGCUACACAGAGAUAAGUGGUGUAAUGCAUAAGUUCAUUAAUGGUGAUAAAGAGCACCCAAGGUUGCAGGAGAUUUACAGAGCGCUAGAGGAAAUUAUGUCAAGAAUAGGUGAGCUGGGAUAUGAGCCGGAAACAAGCAAUGUGCUUCAUGACAUCGGGGAGGAGGAGAAGCAGUAUGCACUGUCCUAUCAUAGCGAAAAACUGGCCAUUGCAUUUGGGUUGAUUGCCACACCACCCGGGGAGACCCUGCGGGUGAUAAAAAAAUCUGCGUAUCUGUGGGGACUGUCAUGUAGUGGCAAAGCUAAUAUCUAA